This 190-nucleotide ribosomal RNA is filed under the name uncultured soil bacterium. RNAcentral describes it as "partial 16S ribosomal RNA". It matches the Rfam family "Bacterial small subunit ribosomal RNA", at positions 26 to 219 of the family's 1533-position model. The record is from RNAcentral.
AGAUUGAACGCUGGCGGCAGGCCUAACACAUGCAAGUCGAGCGGCAGCACGGGUACUUGUACCUGGUGGCGAGCGGCGGACGGGUGAGUAAUGCCUAGGAAUCUGCCUGAUAGUGGGGGAUAACGUUCGGAAACGGACGCUAAUACCGCAUACGUCCUACGGGAGAAAGCGGGGGACUUCGGUCCGUACC